RNAcentral lists this ribosomal RNA (122 nucleotides) under Flavivirga aquimarina. Its description in RNAcentral is "partial 16S ribosomal RNA". It matches the Rfam family "Bacterial small subunit ribosomal RNA", at positions 1 to 119 of the family's 1533-position model. Lineage: Bacteria; Pseudomonadati; Bacteroidota; Flavobacteriia; Flavobacteriales; Flavobacteriaceae. The record is from RNAcentral.
ACGAUGAAGAGUUUGAUCCUGGCUCAGGAUGAACGCUAGCGGCAGGCCUAACACAUGCAAGUCGAGGGGUAACGGGGUAGCUUGCUACCGCCGACGACCGGCGCACGGGUGCGUAACGCGUA